This 255-nucleotide ribosomal RNA is filed under the name uncultured bacterium. Its description in RNAcentral is "partial 16S ribosomal RNA". It matches the Rfam family "Bacterial small subunit ribosomal RNA", at positions 524 to 776 of the family's 1533-position model. The record is from RNAcentral.
UACGUAGGGGGCAAGCGUUGUCCGGAUUUAUUGGGCGUAAAGAGCGUGUAGGCGGUUUGGUAGGUCCGCUGUGAAAAACUCGAGGCUCAACCUCGAGACGCCGGUGGAAACCAUCAGACUAGAGUCCGGAAGAGGAGAGUGGAAUUCCUGGUGUAGCGGUGAAAUGCGCAGAUAUCAGGAAGAACACCCGUGCUAAGGCGGCUCUCUAGUACGGUACUGAACGCUGAGACGCGAAAAGCGUGGGGAGCGAACAGG